AUUGAACGCUGGCGGCAGGCCUAACACAUGCAAGUCUUGCGGUAGCACAGAGAGCUUGCUCUCGGGUGACGAGCGGCGGACGGGUGAGUAAUGUCUGGGAAACUGCCUGAUGGAGGGGGAUAACUACUGGAAACGGUAGCUAAUACCGCAUAACGUCGCAAGACCAAAGUGGGGGACCUUCGGGCCUCAUGCCAUCAGAUGUGCCCAGAUGGGAUUAGCUAGUAGGUGGGGUAAUGGCUCACCUAGGCGACGAUCCCUAGCUGGUCUGAGAGGAUGACCAGCCACACUGGAACUGAGACACGGUCCAGACUCCUACGGGAGGCAGCAGUGGGGAAUAUUGCACAAUGGGCGCAAGCCUGAUGCAGCCAUGCCGCGUGUGUGAAGAAGGCCUUCGGGUUGUAAAGCACUUUCAGCGGGGAGGAAGGCGGUGAGGUUAAUAACCUCAUCGAUUGACGUUACCCGCAGAAGAAGCACCGGCUAACUCCGUGCCAGCAGCCGCGGUAAUACGGAGGGUGCAAGCGUUAAUCGGAAUUACUGGGCGUAAAGCGCACGCAGGCGGUCUGUCAAGUCGGAUGUGAAAUCCCCGGGCUCAACCUGGGAACUGCAUUCGAAACUGGCAGGCUAGAGUCUUGUAGAGGGGGGUAGAAUUCCAGGUGUAGCGGUGAAAUGCGUAGAGAUCUGGAGGAAUACCGGUGGCGAAGGCGGCCCCCUGGACAAAGACUGACGCUCAGGUGCGAAAGCGUGGGGAGCAAACAGGAUUAGAUACCCUGGUAGUCCACGCCGUAAACGAUGUCGAUUUGGAGGUUGUGCCCUUGAGGCGUGGCUUCCGGAGCUAACGCGUUAAAUCGACCGCCUGGGGAGUACGGCCGCAAGGUUAAAACUCAAAUGAAUUGACGGGGGCCCGCACAAGCGGUGGAGCAUGUGGUUUAAUUCGAUGCAACGCGAAGAACCUUACCUGGUCUUGACAUCCACAGAACUUUCCAGAGAUGGAUUGGUGCCUUCGGGAACUGUGAGACAGGUGCUGCAUGGCUGUCGUCAGCUCGUGUUGUGAAAUGUUGGGUUAAGUCCCGCAACGAGCGCAACCCUUAUCCUUUGUUGCCAGCGGUCCGGCCGGGAACUCAAAGGAGACUGCCAGUGAUAAACUGGAGGAAGGUGGGGAUGACGUCAAGUCAUCAUGGCCCUUACGACCAGGGCUACACACGUGCUACAAUGGCAUAUACAAAGAGAAGCGACCUCGCGAGAGCAAGCGGACCUCAUAAAGUAUGUCGUAGUCCGGAUUGGAGUCUGCAACUCGACUCCAUGAAGUCGGAAUCGCUAGUAAUCGUAGAUCAGAAUGCUACGGUGAAUACGUUCCCGGGCCU
Molecule: ribosomal RNA, 1361 nt
Filed under: uncultured bacterium
Lineage: Bacteria
Description: bacterial SSU rRNA
Rfam family: Bacterial small subunit ribosomal RNA
Source: RNAcentral